UUGUGGGACCACGCCCCCUUAUGCAGACAGCCAAUCAGGACUUGAGGCACUGGUUUCUCCAUUGUGAAGAAGUGGCCUUUAACGUUUGGAGUCUUGGGAUGCUGGAGUCUUGGUUUUAAACUAGGGGAGGUAUAGUGGGCUUGGCUCUCUGUUUUCAAGACACUCAGGAUCUGUCUUUGUCUGGGUGGAAAGAUCAUGCCCCCAAAACCCGCCCCACCUGCUGCAGGAGGUCCUCCUGCUUCAAAAGGCGCGGCUGCUGCAAAAGGCCCGCCUGCUGCAGGAGGCCCGCCCGCUGCAAGAGUCCCGCCGGCUGCAGGAGGCCCGCCGGCUGCAGGAGGCCCGCCGGCUGCAGGAGCCCCGCCGGCUGCAGGCGCCCCUGAGAAGCCGCCAGAGGAAACACAGACACCUGAAGAACUGGCAUUUUAUGCCCCGAAUUACUUAUGUUUGACCAUCCUGGCCGUAAUUUUGUUCCCUCCCCUGGGAUUAAUAGCUAUAUUCUUCAGUUACAAGACUUCGCAGGCCAACAAGAACAGCGAAUGGGAAGAUGCUUACCUCAACUCAGGCCGAACUGGCUGGCUGGAUGUAUUUGCCAUACUCAUUGGUUUAGGCAUCAUUUAUGUCUAUACCCUAUUUAUGUGAAGGCCAGGCCAAGUAGUCCAUGAGUCCACCUCAAAUAGGACUUACCCACCAAGGCCCUAACCAACCAAAUCAGCCACCAUGCAAGAAACCAACAGCCAAGACAUCUUCUAGCCAGAAAACCUAUUGGCCAAGGAACUCAACAUCCAAGCAACCCACUAGCCCAGGGACAUCAUACUACUUCAUCCUUUUCGCUGCUGGAGCCAUCUUCAUCCACCUUGAGGGUCCUCACUUUCAUGCCCUAUAUGUGCUUAGCUCCAUGAUACUUGGAUGCUCUUUCAGAAAAAAAAAAAUAUUUAAACCAAUAAAAAAUGAAGGGAAUGUUCCAGCUUC
Long non-coding RNA from Herpailurus yagouaroundi (jaguarundi), 969 nucleotides. RefSeq lists it as uncharacterized. The record is from RefSeq and is a predicted model, not a curated record. The transcript is spliced from 2 exons. NCBI's taxonomy places the organism in Eukaryota, Metazoa, Chordata, Mammalia, Carnivora, Felidae.